UGAUUGGCCUAGAGGCAUGCUUACGUUCAUAUUUCGUUGCAUAUUAUCUUUGAUUUAUUGGUCAUUCAGGUCAUGAUGUAUGAUCCAUUAUUCUUUGACCCAUUCAAAUUUGCUUCAAUCAUUUCAUUCAUUUCCCAUUCAAGUUUGUUAGGUCUUAGGCCUUGUUUCUUAUGCUUGGUCCAUUGGAUUCCUACACUUUUCAUGUCCAUUAGUCUAUACAAUUCAAAUCAUUCAAUGUCAUUCAAAUCAAU
RNAcentral lists this long non-coding RNA (251 nucleotides) under Lathyrus oleraceus (garden pea). Its description in RNAcentral is "Pisum sativum (pea) long non-coding RNA (PSAT_LNC030156)". The record is from RNAcentral. Lineage: Eukaryota; Viridiplantae; Streptophyta; Magnoliopsida; Fabales; Fabaceae.